RNAcentral lists this ribosomal RNA (371 nucleotides) under uncultured bacterium. RNAcentral's name for it is "bacterial SSU rRNA". It matches the Rfam family "Bacterial small subunit ribosomal RNA", at positions 30 to 388 of the family's 1533-position model. The record is from RNAcentral.
AUUGAACGCUGGCGGCAUGCCUUACACAUGCAAGUCGAACGGCAGCGGACCUUCGGUGCCGGCGAGUGGCGAACGGGUGAGUAAUAUAUCGGAACGUACCUUUCAGUGGGGAGUAACGUAGCGAAAGUUACGCUAAUACCGCAUACUCUGUGAGCAGGAAAGCAGGGGAGUCGCAAGACCUUGCGCUGAUUGAGCGGCCGAUAUCAGAUUAGCUAGUUGGUGAGGUAAAGGACUCACCAAGGCGACGAUCUGUAGCGGGUCGUGAGAGGAUGAUCCGCCACACUGGAACUGAGACACGGUCCAGACUCCUACGGGAGGCAGCAGUGGGGGAAGUUUUGGUACGAAUAGGGCGGCGAAGACCUCGAUCCACG